UACGGGGGGAGCAAGCGUUGUUCGGAUUUACUGGGCGUAAAGGGCGCGUAGGCGGCCACCGCAAGUCGGUUGUGAAAUCUCUGGGCUUAACCCAGAAAGGUCAACCGAUACUGCGGGGCUAGAGUGCAGAAGGGGCAACUGGAAUUCCAGGUGUAGCGGUGAAAUGCGUAGAUAUCUGGAGGAAUACCGGUGGCGAAGGCGGCAUCCUGGACCGGCAUUGACGCUGAGGAGCGAAAGCCAGGGGAGCAAACGGG
RNAcentral lists this ribosomal RNA (254 nucleotides) under uncultured bacterium. Its description in RNAcentral is "partial 16S ribosomal RNA". It matches the Rfam family "Bacterial small subunit ribosomal RNA", at positions 524 to 776 of the family's 1533-position model. The record is from RNAcentral.